Molecule: long non-coding RNA, 2001 nt
Organism: Sphaerodactylus townsendi
Lineage: Eukaryota; Metazoa; Chordata; Lepidosauria; Squamata; Sphaerodactylidae
Exons: 2
Source: RefSeq, a predicted model, not a curated record
UAAAUGAUCAAUAUUUUUUUUCAGUAUUGAGCAACUACUGAGCAGCCUAAGUUAGAAGUUCCUUAGAAGUAUUUGUCCUGGAAGCAAACAAUAACAGUUAAAAAAAAAGCUCAGAAGGUGGGGGGGUGCUGUAACAGGCAGGCACUGUGAGCCUCAAAGGAGAGGGCAUUGCAAAGGUAAGGUGCUGAAACUGAAAAUGCCCCAAUUCUAAGCAGGAUCUGUGUAAGUGGGGAUACAGAGCAGGUCACAUUUUCACAAAAAACAGACUCAUUCUAGUUCCUACAGAAUGUGAUCUACUCUUCCUACAAUGGUUAUUAAGUUGACAUUCUGAAGCUCCAGAUCUUUUAGAAAUGUACAGUGGUGAGCUAAUGCCAACAAGAACAACUGCAAUUAGAAACUUCCUAAAACUCUCAGGACCUCCCCCCCGGAAUUUCUUUUGUACAAGGAGAUGCAAUACUAAAUUCAGCUAUGUUAAUUCACCUACUACUGACCAGUUUCUCCAGAACAUUUUAGGCUGCAUAACCUCUGAAAAAUGCAAACUCACACACACCAGCAUGUGUGUAAGUUUAUAAUGCUCAAAAUCCAGGUAGGUGGGAGAGGGUACGUGAAAACUCCUGAGAGACAAUUUAAUGAUAACAUGAGAUGCUCUUUGUAUAUAUUACAAUAAAGUACUAUAAAUGUAUAUUUUCCAAUUUCCAGCAACAGGUAGAGUGCUAGGGAUCAAUGCUUGUACUCCACUUUAGAGCCAGAGCCCCUCCCUGUCUCUAGGGAGUCAGUCUGCCUCCAGUGCAAUCCUUGGCAGAGUUACUCCAGCACAUUGAUUUCAAUGGGUGUAGUCAAGUACUAUGGCACUGUAAAAUACUGUAAAGAAUGCUUCAGUUUGCAAAUGGCUAUCCUCUUUCCCAGCCUAUCUGCCCGUUUGCUCAUAGCACUAAAGCAUUUGCAUUGUGAAUAAUUUACCAACUUAUAAAAUGGGUGACUCUCACAAAAGGACACCUGCCAAGCCAAGAGCUAUUUCCCUCUCUAAUUAACAUAGUGAACUGUCUCCCAAAAUUUGGAAAAUUACAUUGACAAAGGUUUCUUUACCUGCAAGAAAUAAAGGGAAAAGACAGCAAAGAUUCCUGGCUGUGAAGAAUCAGAAAAGAGAAAAUGCCACCAGUACUGCAGGUACAGAAGCAGUGCACAGAAUUUUAUUUAGCUGUCUCUCAAAGACAAACCAUGAUUACAUUGGGCAUAAUAAACAUGGGUCCACAAGUGGUCCCUAGGCUUAGAACCCUGUAUCUCUAAUUCAACAAAGGAAAAAUGGGUUCUAAGGCCCUCCCUUAUUUUGGAAAACAUUUAAAGAGAUCUUUAAACCCAGCAUACCUACAGGGAAAAUACGCCAGGAAAACCCCAGGCAAUGUUCUUAGGGGCCAAUUAACUCCAUGGGAAUCCUGCACUCCUCCCAAUGCACUAAACUAAGUUCCAUCCAGAAUGCAAGCAGGUAUUGUCUCACCCAGAGAGGCAGGACAUUACAUCUAGUUAUACCACGGACCAAGCUAGUCUUGUCUUCAGUUUAAUUCAGUCAACUUUCCCACACACCCUUUGUAGUAUGAGCAAAUACUGCAUUUUUCUUUACAAAAUUCAAACCCAACAGACUAAAAGUUAAAACAGCUCUUCUGCCUAGUAAUUUGGAUUCAGUCACUCUUGGGACUCCGACAUCAACUUGGAACAAGGUAUUGCCCAAGGGCCAUCUCCCAUUGCCCAACAAUCCUCAAGGAAUCCUAGACCAUAGGACCACUUCCUGACAGGCAAGGUCUAUUUUACAUUCUUCCCUUCAUUCCCCAUUCAGGGAGCAACCCUUUCUCCACUAAUGUAACUUUACUUCAGACUAGAUUGUGUACUAGCUUCCCCUUAAUGUAUGUGACAUUCACCUGGAUCAACUGCUUACUUCUGAAUUGGCUCUAUCUCUCUUGUUUUAAUGCUGUCUCUGUUAUUGUAAAUAAAAGUAUAUUUACAGUA